Molecule: ribosomal RNA, 497 nt
Filed under: uncultured bacterium
Lineage: Bacteria
Description: partial 16S ribosomal RNA
Rfam family: Bacterial small subunit ribosomal RNA
Source: RNAcentral
GAUGAACGCUGGCGGCGUGCCUAAUACAUGCAAGUCGAGCGAAGGGACGAGAAGUUUGCUUCUCUGAUGUUAGCGGCGGACGUGUGAGUAACAUGUGUAACACGCCCCUAUAAGAGGGGGAUAACUUCGGGAAACCGGCGCUUACACCGGAUAAUAUUUUGAACCACAUGGUUCAAAAGUGAAAGACGGUCUUGCUGUCACUUAUAGAUGGAUCCGCGCUGCAUUAGGUAGUUGGUAAGGUAACGGCUUACCAAGGCAACGAUGCAUAGCCGACCUGAGAGGGUGAUCGCCCACACUGGAACUGGGCCACGGUCCAGACUCCUACGGGAGCCAGCAGUAGGGAAUCUUCCGCAAUGGGCGAAAGCCUGACGGAGCAACGCCGCGUGGGUGAUGAGGUUCUUCGGAUCGUAAACCUCUGUUAUUGGGGAGGAACAUAUGUGUAAGUGACUGUGCACAUCUUGACGGUACCUUAUCAGAAAGCCACGGCUAACUACGUG